GCUGGGCGUGGUGGCUCAUGCCUGUAAUCCCAGCAUUUUGGGAGCCUGAGGCAGGUGGAUCACCUGAGGUCAGGAGUUUGAGACCAACCUGACCAAUAUGGUGAAACCCUGUCUCUA
Molecule: non-coding RNA, 117 nt
Filed under: Pan troglodytes (chimpanzee)
Lineage: Eukaryota; Metazoa; Chordata; Mammalia; Primates; Hominidae
Source: Rfam by way of RNAcentral